This 497-nucleotide ribosomal RNA is filed under the name uncultured bacterium. Its description in RNAcentral is "partial 16S ribosomal RNA". It matches the Rfam family "Bacterial small subunit ribosomal RNA", at positions 28 to 507 of the family's 1533-position model. The record is from RNAcentral.
GAUGAACGCUGGCGGCGUGCCUAAUACAUGCAAGUCGAGCGAACGGACGAGAAGCUUGCUUCUCUGAUGUUAGCGGCGGACGGGUGAGUAACACGUGGAUAACCUACCUAUAAGACUGGGAUAACUUCGGGAAACCGGAGCUAAUACCGGAUGAUAUUUUGAACCGCAUGGUUCAAAAGUGAAAGACGGUCUUGAUGUCACUUAUAGAUGGAUCCGCGCUGCAUUAGCUAGUUGGUAAGGUAACGGCUUACCAAGGCAACGAUGCAUAGCCGACCUGAGAGGGUGAUCGGCCACACUGGAACUGAGACACGGUCCAGACUCCUACGGGAGGCAGCAGUAGGGAAUCUUCCGCAAUGGGCGAAAGCCUGACGGAGCAACGCCGCGUGAGUGAUGAAGGUCUUCGGAUCGUAAAACUCUGUUAGUAGGGAAGAACAUAUGUGUAAGUAACUGUGCACAUCUUGACGUUACCUAAUCAGAAAGCCACGGCUAACUACGUG